GUCCUUGUAGUUAAAGUUCAUAUAACGGUGAUUUUUCAGGUCAUAGAUCUUGGAUAAAGGCCAAGCGAGGACA
RNAcentral lists this transfer RNA (73 nucleotides) under Cormobates leucophaea (white-throated treecreeper). RNAcentral's name for it is "Cormobates leucophaeus (white-throated treecreeper) tRNA-Glu". The record is from RNAcentral. Lineage: Eukaryota; Metazoa; Chordata; Aves; Passeriformes; Climacteridae.